AAAUGAAGGAAGCAUGGUAACGUGCACAAAAAUUGAUUUGGUUCUCUAGGCCUGCCCUCUUUAAUACCUUCCGGCUUUGAUUUGGGGCAUGUUUUUGUAGAAAAACG
Rhododendron vialii is the source of this 107-nucleotide small nucleolar RNA. RefSeq annotates it as small nucleolar RNA snoR100. Lineage: Eukaryota; Viridiplantae; Streptophyta; Magnoliopsida; Ericales; Ericaceae. The record is from RefSeq and is a predicted model, not a curated record. The transcript has a single exon.